GUCCUGAUACAUAUUUGGCUCACGCUAUCUCUCUGAUCCCCUUGCCAGUUUGCUGCCGCCGGCCACAUUCACUCACUUUGUCUCCGGCCACCAUCAGUUUGUCAGUGCCUCCUCGCUACUGUCAUCCGCCGACUCCGAACUCCGCUGUCUCGCCCUCGCUUCACACAGUCUCUGCUCGAACUGCCUCCCUCCCUCACCGUGCGUCUACAGGGAUUUAGAUAUAGCUCUCCGGGCUCUGGUUCUAAACUAUUUAUGGAUAACCAACAGAAGUCUCCCAAACCACUCCUGUAUCCUCAUGUGGUAGAGUUCUCGAAUUAAUAUUUACUUGUAAUGUUAAUUCUUCACUUUUUGGUUCCAAAUUUCAUUUCUUGAAUUUUACCUUCUCUCAAAUUAAAAAAUUAAUUAAUUGAAUCAUGUAAUCUAAAGUGCUACAAAUGACAAAAAAAAAACAGCUAGAAAUAGCUUAAAAACGAAACUUUGUUCGGCCCACAGAGAUCGAAGGGAUUUUCAGGUUCAAUCCACCGGCAUGCUCUUGGCGUUGAGGGCUAACUGGUCUUCUGCGGAUGGAGAUGAAGAAGGUUGUCUCUGUUC
Arachis ipaensis is the source of this 591-nucleotide non-coding RNA. Lineage: Eukaryota; Viridiplantae; Streptophyta; Magnoliopsida; Fabales; Fabaceae. The record is from RefSeq and is a predicted model, not a curated record.